UGGGGUAUGGCCAAGAGGUUUAAGGCACCGGUUUUUGAUACCGGGAUCCCUGGUUCGAAUCCAGGUACCCCAG
This 73-nucleotide transfer RNA is filed under the name Buchnera aphidicola (Sipha maydis). RNAcentral's name for it is "transfer RNA Glutamine". It matches the Rfam family "tRNA". Rfam says of the family: Transfer RNA (tRNA) molecules are approximately 80 nucleotides in length. Their secondary structure includes four short double-helical elements and three loops (D, anti-codon, and T loops). The record is from RNAcentral. Lineage: Bacteria; Pseudomonadati; Pseudomonadota; Gammaproteobacteria; Enterobacterales; Erwiniaceae.